GGCGCUGUGGCUUGGCGGGUUAAAGCCCCAGCCUGCAGUGCCGGCAUCCCAUAUGGGCACCAGGUUCAAGUCCCGGCUGCUCCA
This 84-nucleotide transfer RNA is filed under the name Oryctolagus cuniculus (rabbit). It matches the Rfam family "tRNA". Rfam says of the family: Transfer RNA (tRNA) molecules are approximately 80 nucleotides in length. Lineage: Eukaryota; Metazoa; Chordata; Mammalia; Lagomorpha; Leporidae. The record is from Rfam by way of RNAcentral.